RNAcentral lists this ribosomal RNA (253 nucleotides) under uncultured bacterium. Its description in RNAcentral is "partial 16S ribosomal RNA". It matches the Rfam family "Bacterial small subunit ribosomal RNA", at positions 524 to 776 of the family's 1533-position model. The record is from RNAcentral.
UACGUAGGGGGCAAGCGUUGUCCGGAAUUAUUGGGCGUAAAGAGCGCGUAGGCGGUCCGGUAAGUCGGUUGUGAAAGUCGGGGGCUCAACCCUCGGAUGCCGAUCGAUACUGUCGGGCUAGAGUCCGGAAGAGGCGAGUGGAAUUCCUGGUGUAGCGGUGGAAUGCGCAGAUAUCAGGAGGAACACCGGUGGCGAAGGCGGGUCUCUGGGCCGAUACUGACGCUGAGGAGCGAAAGCGUGGGGAGCGAACAGG